Molecule: ribosomal RNA, 537 nt
Filed under: uncultured delta proteobacterium
Lineage: Bacteria; Deltaproteobacteria
Description: bacterial SSU rRNA
Rfam family: Bacterial small subunit ribosomal RNA
Source: RNAcentral
AGUUUGAUCCUGGCUCAGAACGAACGCUGGCGGCGUGCCUAACACAUGCAAGUCGAACGAGAAAGGGAUUUCGGUCCUGAGUAAAGUGGCGCACGGGUGAGUAACACGUAGGUAACCUGCCUCUAAGAUUGGGAUAACCUGUCGAAAGACGAGCUAAUACCGAAUAAGACCACGGUUUCUUCGGAGACAGAGGUCAAAGGUAGCCUCUAUUUAUAAGCUAUCACUUAGAGAUGGGCCUGCGCACCAUUAGCUAGUUGGUAGGGUAACGGCCUACCAAGGCAAAGAUGGUUAGCUGGUCUGAGAGGAUGAUCAGCCACACUGGAACUGAGACACGGUCCAGACUCCUACGGGAGGCAGCAGUGGGGAAUAUUGCGCAAUGGGCGAAAGCCUGACGCAGCAACGCCGCGUGAGUGAUGAAGGCCCUCGGGUCGUAAAGCUCUGUCGGAGGGAACGAAUGCUUUUGAGGUUAACAGCCUCGAAAAGUGACGGUACCCUCAAAGGAAGCACCGGCUAACUCUGUGCCAGCAGCCGCGGUAA